GACGAACGCUGGCGGCGUGCUUAACACAUGCAAGUCGAACGGAAAGGCCCUGCUCUUGUGGGGUGCUCGAGUGGCGAACGGGUGAGUAACACGUGAGUAACAUGCCCUUGACUUUGGGAUAACUUCAGGAAACUGGGGCUAAUACCGGAUAGGAGCUCCUGCUGCAUGGUGGGGGUUGGAAAGUUUCGGCGGUUGGGGAUGGACUCGCAGGUUAUCAGCUUGUUGGUGGGGUAGUGGCUUACGAAGGCUUUGACGGGUAGCCGGCAUGAGAGGGUGACCGGCCACAUUGGUACUGAGAGAGGGCCCAGAAGGCAACGGGAGGCAGCAGUGGGGAAUAUUGCGCAAUGGGCGGAAGCCUGAUGCAGCAACGCCGGGUGCGGGAUGACGGCCUACGGGGUGUAAACCGCUUUCGCCUGUGAUGAAGCGUGAGUGACGGUAAUGGGUAAAGAAGCACCGGCUAACUACGUG
Molecule: ribosomal RNA, 468 nt
Filed under: uncultured bacterium
Lineage: Bacteria
Description: partial 16S ribosomal RNA
Rfam family: Bacterial small subunit ribosomal RNA
Source: RNAcentral